UGUGGAAAAGAAUUCUAUGAGACCAGGUCUCACGCAAGACCCAUCCUGAUAAAUGAUACGUGGCAUUCAUAAAUCACAAAGCAUCCCUCACCCCCCACUUAAAAUCAAGGAAAAAAAAUUAAAUGCUUUGUGAUUUGUGAAUGUCACGUGUCAUUCAUCAGGACGGGUCUCACCUGCUAACGGUGAGACCUGAUCUUAUAUAAUAUUUUUCCGUCCGCUCUUCGGUACACCUGUGCGUGCGGAGAGGAAAUCGAGGGGUUGGCCGCGGGCACGGAGCAUACCAGGAAAUGCGAGGAAGCGAAGAAGGCGGCCCAGGCGGCGAAGGCUCGUGAGCUGGCGGCCCAGAGGGCGCGGGAGUUGGAGCUGAAGGCCGCGCGUAGGGGCCGCGAUUAAACAACUCAGCAAAGGCAGGCAUCAAGGGCAGGGGAAGAACAAAACAGCAAGUGUUGUAUCAUGGCGAAAUAAAGCACAAUGUCAGGAGAUUCAUCUGUUCUACUGAUAUAAUGUACUCCUUUGAACAUAUUAUGUCUUGCCUAUUUUGAACUCCUAUGAACAUAUUACUUCACAUAUUACCUGCCGUGCUCACA
This is a non-coding RNA of Triticum urartu, 587 nucleotides long. Lineage: Eukaryota; Viridiplantae; Streptophyta; Magnoliopsida; Poales; Poaceae. The record is from RefSeq and is a predicted model, not a curated record.